This 253-nucleotide ribosomal RNA is filed under the name uncultured bacterium. RNAcentral's name for it is "partial 16S ribosomal RNA". It matches the Rfam family "Bacterial small subunit ribosomal RNA", at positions 524 to 776 of the family's 1533-position model. The record is from RNAcentral.
UACGUAGGGGCCAAGCGUUGUCCGGAUUUAUUGGGCGUAAAGAGCUCGUAGGCGGUCUGUUGCGUCUGCCGUGAAAACCCGAGGCUUAACCUCGGGCCUGCGGUGGAUACGGGCAGACUAGAGGUAGGUAGGGGAGAAUGGAAUUCCCGGUGUAGCGGUGAAAUGCGCAGAUAUCGGGAGGAACACCGGUGGCGAAGGCGGUUCUCUGGGCCUUACCUGACGCUGAGGAGCGAAAGCGUGGGGAGCGAACAGG